RNAcentral lists this ribosomal RNA (261 nucleotides) under uncultured archaeon. Its description in RNAcentral is "partial 16S ribosomal RNA". It matches the Rfam family "Archaeal small subunit ribosomal RNA", at positions 748 to 1009 of the family's 1478-position model. The record is from RNAcentral.
UAGCCGUAAACGAUACUCGCUAGGUGUCGGCCACGGUGCGACCGUUGUCGGUGCCGUAGGGAAGCCGUGAAGCGAGCCACCUGGGGAGUACGGCCGCAAGGCUGAAACUUAAAGGAAUUGGCGGGGGAGCACAACAACGGGUGGAGCUUGCGGUUUAAUUGGAUUCAACGCCGGAAAUCUUACCGGGACCGACAGCAACAUGAAGGCCAAGCUGAAGACUUUGCCGGAUUAGCUGAGAGGAGGUACAUGGCGUAGUCGUGU